This 136-nucleotide ribosomal RNA is filed under the name Eleocharis mutata. RNAcentral's name for it is "5.8S ribosomal RNA". It matches the Rfam family "5.8S ribosomal RNA", at positions 9 to 140 of the family's 154-position model. From Rfam's summary of the family: 5.8S ribosomal RNA (5.8S rRNA) is a component of the large subunit of the eukaryotic ribosome. It is transcribed by RNA polymerase I as part of the 45S precursor that also contains 18S and 28S rRNA. Functionally, it is thought that 5.8S rRNA may be involved in ribosome translocation. Lineage: Eukaryota; Viridiplantae; Streptophyta; Magnoliopsida; Poales; Cyperaceae. The record is from RNAcentral.
CCGGCAACGGAUAUCUAGGCUCUCGCAUCGAUGAAGAACGUAGCGAAAUGCGAUACAUGGUGUGAAUUGCAGAAUCCCGUGAACCAUCGAGUCUUUGAACGCAAGUUGCGCCCGAGGGACCAUCCCGAGGGCACGC